ACUCCUACGGGAGGCAGCAGUGGGGAAUAUUGGACAAUGGGGGCAACCCUGAUCCAGCCAUGCCGCGUGUGUGAAGAAGGCCUUCGGGUUGUAAAGCACUUUCAGUGAGGAAGAAGGCCUCGGGCUUAAUACGUCCGAGGGAGGACAUCACUCACAGAAG
This 160-nucleotide ribosomal RNA is filed under the name uncultured Pseudomonadota bacterium. RNAcentral describes it as "uncultured proteobacterium partial 16S ribosomal RNA". It matches the Rfam family "Bacterial small subunit ribosomal RNA", at positions 335 to 487 of the family's 1533-position model. The record is from RNAcentral. Lineage: Bacteria; Pseudomonadati; Pseudomonadota.